This 429-nucleotide ribosomal RNA is filed under the name Gemmatimonadota bacterium. RNAcentral's name for it is "Gemmatimonadetes bacterium partial 16S ribosomal RNA". It matches the Rfam family "Bacterial small subunit ribosomal RNA", at positions 355 to 776 of the family's 1533-position model. Lineage: Bacteria; Pseudomonadati; Gemmatimonadota. The record is from RNAcentral.
UAGGGAAUUUUCGGCAAUGGACGCAAGUCUGACCGAGCAACGCCGCGUGAGUGAAGAAGGCUUUCGGAUCGUAAAACUCUUUUGUUUGAGAAGAACAAGGACGUUAGAAACUGGACGUCUUCUGACGGUACCUACCCAGCAAGCCCCGGCUAACUACGUGCCAGCAGCCGCGGUAAUACGUAGGUUGCAAGCGUUGUCCGGAAUUAUUGGGCGUAAAGCGUGCGCAGGCGGUUGCGUAAGUCGGAUGUGAAAGCCCCUGGCGUAACCGGGGAGGGGCGUGUGAAACUGGAAGACUUGAUGGCAGAAGAGGAGAGUGGAAUUCCAUGUGUAGCGGUGAAAUGCGUAGAUAUGUGGAGGAACACCGAUGGCGAAGGCGGCACUCUGGACGGUAACUGACGCUAAGGCUCGAAAGCGUGGGGAGCAAACAGG